UCGCCUGUUUAUCAAAAACAUGUCCUUUUGUUUAUAAUUUAAGGUCUGACCUGCCCACUGAAAUUUAUUUUAAAGGGCCGCGGUAUUUUGACCGUGCAAAGGUAGCAUAAUCAUUAGUCUUUUAAUUGAAGGCUAGAAUGAAUGGUUGGACGAGGUAUUGACUGUCUCUGUACAAAUGAAAUUAGAAUUUAACUUUUAAGUGAAAAGGCUUAAAUUUUAUUAGAGGACGAGAAGACCCCAUAGAGCUUUAUAUUAAUUUUAUUGUAAUUUGUUUAGGGGUCAUUUUAUUAUAUUAAAUUUAUUAUUUUGUUGGGGUGACAGGAAGAUACAAUAAACUCUUUUUAAUUAAUUAAACAUUUAUGAAUGAAUUUUUGAUCCAUUUUUAGUGAUUAUAAGUCUAAGUUACCUUGGGGAUAACAGCGUAAUCUUUUUCGAGAGUUCUUAUCGACAAAAAGGGUUGCGACCUCGAUGUUGGAUUAAGGGUAAUUUUGGGUGUAGAUGUUCAAAAUUUAGGUCUGUUCGACCUUUGAAUCCUUACAUGAUCUGAGUUCAAACCGGAGA
This 561-nucleotide ribosomal RNA is filed under the name Dinotoperla sp. BYU_PL105. RNAcentral's name for it is "partial 16S ribosomal RNA". It matches the Rfam family "Bacterial large subunit ribosomal RNA", at positions 1796 to 2622 of the family's 2925-position model. The record is from RNAcentral. Lineage: Eukaryota; Metazoa; Arthropoda; Insecta; Plecoptera; Gripopterygidae.